RNA transcript from Solanum tuberosum (potato), 2286 nucleotides. It is a transcript of the gene named riboflavin biosynthesis protein PYRD, chloroplastic, with no coding region annotated. The transcript is spliced from 5 exons. The record is from RefSeq and is a predicted model, not a curated record. Lineage: Eukaryota; Viridiplantae; Streptophyta; Magnoliopsida; Solanales; Solanaceae.
AGAGGAUUUCUCUUUCUUGCCUGAAUCUGUGUGGCUUCUUCACUCCUCCAGCCGCCGGAGCAGAUUUUGCAGCCAAUUGCUGCCAGGGGACUUACGGUCAGUUUUCUUUGUACGAGCCAUUGAGAAUCUAAGAUUCAAAAGGGAUAGUUGUGAUUUGUUUAUACAGAUUUGAUUGUAAGUUCCCCUCCUCCUAUCCUAUCAACUGAGAAGCAUCACUGUCCAAUUGGGUGAUUUUUUGGUGAAAAUGUACUGCUGCCCACUCUCACCUUCAAAACAGAGUCCUUAUUCAUCUACUCAUUUUCUUUCCCCUUCAGCGACAUAUUUUGGGAUUUGUAAUGCAAGCAAAAGGGUGUCCAUUUCUCUAAUUAAUUUGGGAAAUGAAUCAAAGGAAUCGGUUUCUACUUCGAGACUAAAUUAUGGGUUCCUUCGUGCAACCAAAAGGGUGUCUGUUUCAGUGACUAGUUUGGGAAAUGGGGAUCGUUUGGUCAAUGUUAGGUGUGGAGAGUCGGCUGUGGAGCAUGAUGAUGGGUUUUAUAUAAGAAGGUGUGUGGAGAUUGCUAGGAAAGCAGUUGGGCAUACCAGUCCUAAUCCUAUGGUUGGGUGUGUAAUUGUUAAGGAUGGGAAGAUUGUAGGUGAAGGUUUUCACCCAAAAGCUGGCCAGCCACAUGCUGAGGUUUUUGCACUCCGAGAUGCUGGUGAUUUUGCAGAAAAUGCAACAGCCUUUGUGAGCUUGGAACCAUGUAAUCAUUAUGGAAGAACUCCACCUUGUACUGAGGCAUUAAUCAAGGCCAAAGUGAAAAAGGUGGUUGUCGGGAUGGUGGAUCCAAAUCCUAUUGUAGCUUCAACUGGUGUAAGUAGAUUAAGAGAUGAAGGAAUUGAAGUGAUCACAGGUGUUGAAGAAGAACUCUGCAGGAAGCUUAAUGAAGCUUAUAUACAUCAAAUGUUGACCGGAAAGCCAUUUGUCACACUCAGGUACUCUCUCUCAGUUGAUGGUGAUCUCUUGGAUCAGCUGGGUGCAGAAGUCACGGAGUCUGGUGGAUACUAUUCAAAAUUGUUACAAGAAUAUGAUGCAGUUGUUGUUUCUUCCUUCGUGCUGUCAACAAAGCAUUCUGUUCUUUCAUCUAAAGAACCAGGAGCAAAGCAACCUCUUCAGAUAGUAUUAGCAAAAAGUUCAGGUUCACUACAACUCCCUGCCGUUACAGCGAUAUCAUCUAAAACUAUAAUCUUUAGUGAUGAGGAGAUUGUUAUGGAGCUUGAAGCAAGUCAAAGAGGGAUAGAGACAGUAGUUUUGGAUAGGAUGAAUUUAACAGCUAUCCUUGAACAUUGCAAGCGUCAAGGACUGUGCAGUGUGAUGCUGGAUUUGAGAGGAAACUCUGCAGAAUUUGAGGAAAUCCUGCAAGAGGGUUUUGAACAAAAUUUGUUUCAGAAGGUUAUUGUGGAAAUGUUGCCAAUUUUGGGUGCAGGUUAUAAAGAGGCUUUCAAAUAUAUGCAGCAAAACCGAAGGCUGAAGAAUUUAACAUCGAGGACCUUAGGCGAAAGUAUUCUUCUGGAAGGAUAUUUCUAAGUGGAUGGAAGAUUUUAUAAUGAUGGUGAUCAUACAAGGUUAUCUUCCGCUUAUCACUGAAAGCUGCAACAAGUCUACAAGCAUAUCAAAGUUACAUUCCUGCCUCUAAAAGAGGGAGCUUGAUUUCUGAACCAGUGCUACUUUAUUCAUGUCACUUCAAACUAUACUGAAAGGUCCAUGGUAACCUAACAUGGUUAUGGGGAGUACAAGUCACAACAAAGGGUGUGUACUUCAUAUGGUGGACAUACCCCAUAAGUCUACCUUUUUCAUCAAACACUUUCUUCGCUGGGUCUUGUAUCUUCCAUGUGCCCUCCCCAACAAUUCGCUUAAAUCUUUUAUGAUGUGGCUUCUCUUUCUUCAACGGUGUAAUGAAGUAACCUGCGUUGGUGUUAGUGCCCUCAAGAAUCUCCCAUGACUCCUUGUCCGCGUAAAGAUCAACUAGUUGCAUGUAUUGAUGUUGCUCAAGAAGUGACUCGUCUAUCAUAAACACUAGUAAAUACUUGAUAACAUCCCUCUCCUUCGGGUAAAAAUAAUAGUUUGAAUAUCUCUUAGGUUGAUGAUGAUCACGAACAAUCAUUAUACUUUAGUGAUGAAUAUUAAACAAAUUAACAGUAGUGGAUGAAUCAAGCUAAAAGAAUAUCCCUAAAACCCUAGUAAUUAAGACAAUAUGAUCGAUAAAAGAGGUUGAUACUAUAAUGGUAUAAUGACUUUAGUUAGUGCAC